RNAcentral lists this ribosomal RNA (600 nucleotides) under uncultured bacterium. RNAcentral's name for it is "bacterial SSU rRNA". It matches the Rfam family "Bacterial small subunit ribosomal RNA", at positions 730 to 1334 of the family's 1533-position model. The record is from RNAcentral.
UGGGGUGCGAUUGACGCUGAGGCUCGAAAGUGCGGGAAUCAAACAGGAUUAGAUACCCUGGUAGUCCGCACCGUAAACGAUGAAUGCUCGUUCUGGGCGACACACUGUCCGGGACCAAGGGAAACCAUUAAGCAUUCCACCUGGGGAGUACGCCGGCAACGGUGAAACUCAAAGGAAUUGACGGGGGCCCGCACAAGCGGAGGAACAUGUGGUUUAAUUCGAUGAUACGCGAGGAACCUUACCCGGGCUUGAACUGCUGAGGAAGGAUACAGAGAUGUAGACGCCCUUCGGGGCCUCAGUGGAGGUGCUGCAUGGUUGUCGUCAGCUCGUGCCGUGAGGUGUCGGCUUAAGUGCCAUAACGAGCGCAACCCUUGCUGUCGGUUGCCAUCACGUAGUGGUGGGCACUCCGGCGGGACUGCCAUCGCAAGAUGUGAGGAAGGUGGGGAUGACGUCAAAUCAGCACGGCCCUUACGUCCGGGGCUACACACGUGUUACAAUGGGGGGCACAGCGCGGAGCUACCUGGUGACAGGAUGCGAAUCGUGAAAUCCCCUCUCAGUUCGGACUGGAGUCUGCAACCCGACUCCACGAAGCUGGAUUCG